RNAcentral lists this long non-coding RNA (213 nucleotides) under Mus spicilegus (steppe mouse). Its description in RNAcentral is "lncRNA (ENSMSIG00000003660.1)". The record is from RNAcentral. Lineage: Eukaryota; Metazoa; Chordata; Mammalia; Rodentia; Muridae.
CAGCAACAGGUGAGCUGAGAGCUCAAGUUCUGGGAGGGAAAUGUGCUGGGAUGGAAUCCUAGGUCAGGGUGCUGAGGCUUCUCACCAGCAGGCCGAGAACUGGAGCCCAGCCCAAUUGAAUACAAACCCAGUAAAGACCUGUUGACUAAGGGAAAAAAUCAUUGGGACCAGAAGGGAAGAGCUGCGAAUCCUGAAGUUACCUAAAGGGGUCUG